GGACUACCCGGGUUUCUAAUCCUGUUUGCUCCCCGCACUUUCGCGCCUCAGCGUCAGUCAUUGGCUAGAAGUUCGCCUUCGCCACCGGUGUUCUUCCUGAUAUCUACAGAUUUCACCCCUACACCAGGAAUUCCAACUCCCCCUCCAUGACUCUAGUUCCACAGUUUCCAACGCAGUGAUUAAGUUAAGCUUAAACAUUUCACGCCAGACUUGCAAAACCGCCUACGCGCCCUUUACGCCCAAUAAUUCCGAACAACGCUUGCCCCUUACGUGUUACCGCGGCUGCUGGCAC
Molecule: ribosomal RNA, 292 nt
Filed under: uncultured bacterium
Lineage: Bacteria
Description: partial 16S ribosomal RNA
Source: RNAcentral